RNAcentral lists this ribosomal RNA (735 nucleotides) under Triticum aestivum (bread wheat). RNAcentral describes it as "partial small subunit ribosomal RNA". Lineage: Eukaryota; Viridiplantae; Streptophyta; Magnoliopsida; Poales; Poaceae. The record is from RNAcentral.
AUGGUGUUCGAUAGUGUCAACCUUGGUGCUGGUUAUGUUGCUAGUCAAGGUUCCUUACCUGAAACACAACCUGAUGUUAUCCCUGACAGUGUUAGCAAGAAAAGGAACAAGAGGUCAAAGGCAUGGACACACUUCACAAUUCAGGUGGAUGAUCCGGAUCAUGCAAACUACAACUAUUGUAGUGCUGUACUGGGUUGCAAAUCCACAUCGGCAGACAAUGUUGAGAAAUUUGAGAGGGCAUUUGAGCAAUAUGCACUUCAUGAUCCCAACUACAAGACCGAGUUGGAAAAAACUGGUCCAGAACCUAAGCCCGAUGCUCUUGACCAGCGGGGUCCUCCAACUCAAAGUGAUUGGGUAUAUAUUCGUGAGUUCAAACAAUUCCUCCAACACUUCUAUGACCUCACUAAUAAGGUUUCUGGCACCAAGUAUGUUACAGGCAACACCUUCUUGGAAGAGAUUGCUGAUGUUAACUUUUUGUUGGGUGAAUGGAGUGAUCAUGUGAUUUGUGGUGAUGAUGAAAUAUUUAAAUGCAUGGCUCUCAAGAUGAAAGCGAAGUAUGAGAAGUAUUGGGGUGAUCAUGAAAAGAUGAACAAAUAUAUAUUCAUUGUGGCCAUCCUUGAUCCUAGGACCAAGGAAUCUCAUUUCUUUAAGGACAUGGUUGAAGACACCUAUGGCUGUAUAAUAGGUGUGGGAGCCCUUCGAUUGGAGGAUAAUGGUGUAAUAUCGAUUGAUUGA